This 228-nucleotide small RNA is filed under the name Pongo abelii (Sumatran orangutan). RNAcentral describes it as "retained intron". The record is from RNAcentral. Lineage: Eukaryota; Metazoa; Chordata; Mammalia; Primates; Hominidae.
UCAUCUACAAUUAAUGUGGUUCCCUGUUAGUUACUUUGUAGGUAUGUGUGGUGAUGGAGCCAAUGACUGUGGGGGAAGGACGUGCAGCUCUCGUUACCUCCUUUUGCAUGUUUAAGUACAUGGCUCUGUACAGCAUGAUUCAGUAUGUUGGUGUUCUGCUGCUCUACUGGGAGACAAACAGCCUUUCAAAUUACCAGUUUCUGUUCCAGGAUCUGGCCAUUACAACUC